This 403-nucleotide ribosomal RNA is filed under the name Fusobacteriota bacterium. RNAcentral describes it as "Fusobacteria bacterium partial 16S ribosomal RNA". It matches the Rfam family "Bacterial small subunit ribosomal RNA", at positions 355 to 776 of the family's 1533-position model. The record is from RNAcentral. Lineage: Bacteria; Fusobacteriati; Fusobacteriota.
UGGGGAAUAUUGCACAAUGGGGGAAACCCUGAUGCAGCGACGCCGCGUGAGCGAAGAAGGUUUUCGAAUCGUAAAGCUCUGUCCUAUGGGAAGAUAAUGACGGUACCAUAGGAGGAAGCUCCGGCUAACUACGUGCCAGCAGCCGCGGUAAUACGUAGGGGGCAAGCGUUGUCCGGAAUCACUGGGCGUAAAGGGUUCGCAGGCGGAAAUGCAAGUCAGUUGUGAAAGGCAGAGGCUCAACCUCUGUAAGCAAUUGAAACUGUAUUUCUUGAGGUGUGGAGAGGCAAGUGGAAUUCCUAGUGUAGCGGUGAAAUGCGUAGAUAUUAGGAAGAAUACCGGUGGCGAAGGCGACUUGCUGGACACAAACUGGCGCUGAGGAACGAAAGCGUGGGUAGCAAACAGG